AGUGGGAGCACCCUUCGGGGUGUGACUGCGUACCUUUUGUAUAAUGGGUCAGCGACUUAUAUUCUGUAGCAAGGUUAACCGAAUAGGGGAGCCGGAGGGAAACCGAGUCUUAAUUGGGCGUUAAGUUGCAGGGUAUAGACCCGAAACCCGGUGAUCUAGCCAUGGGCAGGUUGAAGGUUGGGUAACACUAACUGGAGGACCGAACCGACUAAUGUUGAAAAAUUAGCGGAUGACCUGUGGCUGGGGGUGAAAGGCCAAUCAAACCGGGAGAUAGCUGGUUCUCCCCGAAAGCUAUUUAGGUAGCGCCUCGUGAAUUCAUCUCCGGGGGUAGAGCACUGUUUCGGCUAGGGGGCCAUCCCGGCUUACCAACCCGAUGCAAACUGCGAAUACCGGAGAAUGUUAUCACGGGAGACACACGGCGGGUGCUAACGUCCGUCGUGAAGAGGGAAACAACCCAGACCGCCAGCUAAGGUCCCAAAGUCAUGGUUAAGUGGGAAACGAUGUGGGAAGGCCCAGACAGCCAGGAUGUUGGCUUAGAAGCAGCCAUCAUUUAAAGAAAGCGUAAUAGCUCACUGGUCGAGUCGGCCUGCGCGGAAGAUGUAACGGGGCUAAACCAUGCACCGAAGCUGCGGCAGCGACACUCAGGUGUUGUUGGGUAGGGGAGCGUUCUGUAAGCCUGUGAAGGUGUGUCGUGAGGCAUGCUGGAGGUAUCAGAAGUGCGAAUGCUGACAUAAGUAACGAUAAAGCGGGUGAAAAGCCCGCUCGCCGGAAGACCAAGGGUUCCUGUCCAACGUUAAUCGGGGCAGGGUGAGUCGACCCCUAAGGCGAGGCCGAAAGGCGUAGUCGAUGGGAAACGGGUUAAUAUUCCCGUACUUGGUGUUACUGCGAAGGGGGGACGGAGAAGGCUAUGUUGGCCGGGCGACGGUUGUCCCGGUUUAAGCGUGUAGGUGUGUGUUCCAGGUAAAUCCGGUUCACUUUAACACUGAGGCGUGAUGACGAGGCACUACGGUGCUGAAGCAACAAAUGCCCUGCUUCCAGGAAAAGCCUCUAAGCAUCAGGUAACAUCAAAUCGUACCCCAAACCGACACAGGUGGUCAGGUAGAGAAUACCAAGGCGCUUGAGAGAACUCGGGUGAAGGAACUAGGCAAAAUGGUGCCGUAACUUCGGGAGAAGGCACGCUGACACGUAGGUGAAGUGAUUUACUCAUGGAGCUGAAGUCAGUCGAAGAUACCAGCUGGCUGCAACUGUUUAUUAAAAACACAGCACUGUGCAAACACGAAAGUGGACGUAUACGGUGUGACGCCUGCCCGGUGCCGGAAGGUUAAUUGAUGGGGUCAGCGCAAGCGAAGCUCCUGAUCGAAGCCCCGGUAAACGGCGGCCGUAACUAUAACGGUCCUAAGGUAGCGAAAUUCCUUGUCGGGUAAGUUCCGACCUGCACGAAUGGCGUAAUGAUGGCCAGGCUGUCUCCACCCGAGACUCAGUGAAAUUGAACUCGCUGUGAAGAUGCAGUGUACCCGCGGCAAGACGGAAAGACCCCGUGAACCUUUACUAUAGCUUGACACUGAACAUUGAGCCUUGAUGUGUAG
Molecule: ribosomal RNA, 1586 nt
Filed under: Salmonella enterica subsp. enterica serovar Thompson
Lineage: Bacteria; Pseudomonadati; Pseudomonadota; Gammaproteobacteria; Enterobacterales; Enterobacteriaceae
Description: partial 23S ribosomal RNA
Rfam family: Bacterial large subunit ribosomal RNA
Source: RNAcentral